UUUUCGUAGGUGAACCUGCGGAAGGAUCAUUG
RNAcentral lists this ribosomal RNA (32 nucleotides) under Platanus x hispanica. RNAcentral's name for it is "partial 18S ribosomal RNA". RNAcentral also lists the same sequence under 2 other names. Lineage: Eukaryota; Viridiplantae; Streptophyta; Magnoliopsida; Proteales; Platanaceae. The record is from RNAcentral.